GCUUAAUACAUGCAAGUCGAACGUGAAGUGUAGCAAUACACUGAAAGUGGCGAACGGGUGAGUAACACGUAAACAAUCUGCCUCUAAGAUCGGGAUAACCUUGCCAACGCGGGGCUAAUACCGGAUGUGGUCCCCAAAACGCAUGUUUUGAGGAUUAAAGGAGUAAUCCGUUUAGAGAUGAGUUUGCGGCCCAUUAGUUAGUUGGCGGGGUAAUGGCCCACCAAGACCGCGAUGGGUAGCCGGCCUGAGAGGGUGAACGGCCACAUUGGGACUGAGAUACGGCCCAGACUCCUACGGGAGGCAGCAGUAGGGAAUUUUGCGCAAUGGACGAAAGUCUGACGCAGCAACGCCGCGUGAAGGAUGAAGGCCCUCGGGUUGUAAACUUCUGUUGGAUGGGAAAAAAAUACUAGCAAUAGUACUGAUGGUACCAUUCGAGUAAGCACCGGCUAACUACGUGCCAGCAGCCGCGGUAAUACGUAGGGUGCAAGCGUUGUUCGGAAUCACUGGGCGUAAAGAGAGCGUAGGCGGGAUCGUAAGUUAGAAGUUUAAUGCAUGGGCUUAACCCAUGACCUGCUUUUAAUACUGCGGUUCUUGAGUAUGGGAGAGGGCGAUGGAAUUCCAGGUGUAGCGGUGGAAUGCGUAGAUAUCUGGAAGAACACCAGUAGCGAAGGCGGUCGCCUGGCCCAAUACUGACGCUGAGGCUCGAAAGCUAGGGGAGCAAACAGGAUUAGAUACCCUGGUAGUCCUAGCCGUAAACGAUGAACACUAGUUGCCGGGAGAGUCAAUCCUUCGGUGACGAAGCUAACGCAUUAAGUGUUCCGCCUGGGAAGUACGUCCGCAAGGAUGAAACUCAAAGGAAUUGACGGGGGCCCGCACAAGCGGUGGAGCAUGUGCUUUAAUUCGAUGCAACGCGAAGAACCUUACCUAGGCUUGACAUGGGGGUGAAAUUCUGUAGAAAUAUAGAACCUUCCGCAAGGAACACCCUACACAGGUGCUGCAUGGUCGUCGUCAGCUCGUGUCGUGAGAUGUUGGGUUAAGUCCCGCAACGAGCGCAACCCUCGCCCUUAGUUGCUAACAGGGAAUGCUGAGAACCUUAAGGGGCUGCCUGGUUUAACCAGGAAGAAAGGGGGGAUAAAGCCAAACCUCCUGGGCCCUAACCCCUAG
This 1164-nucleotide ribosomal RNA is filed under the name uncultured bacterium. RNAcentral describes it as "bacterial SSU rRNA". It matches the Rfam family "Bacterial small subunit ribosomal RNA", at positions 46 to 1211 of the family's 1533-position model. The record is from RNAcentral.